RNAcentral lists this transfer RNA (77 nucleotides) under Massiliimalia timonensis. RNAcentral describes it as "Massilimaliae timonensis tRNA-Asp". It matches the Rfam family "tRNA". From Rfam's summary of the family: Transfer RNA (tRNA) molecules are approximately 80 nucleotides in length. RNAcentral also lists the same sequence under 3 other names. Lineage: Bacteria; Bacillati; Bacillota; Clostridia; Eubacteriales; Oscillospiraceae. The record is from RNAcentral.
GGCCCGUUAGCUCAGCUGGUUAGAGCGCUAGCCUGUCACGCUAGAGGUCGUCGGUUCGAUCCCGAUACGGGUCGCCA